This 86-nucleotide transfer RNA is filed under the name Methylobacterium isbiliense. RNAcentral describes it as "tRNA-Val". Lineage: Bacteria; Pseudomonadati; Pseudomonadota; Alphaproteobacteria; Hyphomicrobiales; Methylobacteriaceae. The record is from RNAcentral.
UCGAUCUCGGCCGGCUCGUCCUCGCGGCGCUGACGGCGCUGCCGCCCGACGACGAGGCGUGCGCGGCCCUGGUCCGCGAGGUCGAC